UCGCUAUCGCUAUUCUCUCACAUUGUGUCUUGGGCUUAAUAUUCUUUUUGUAAUAACGCCCAUCAAAACGACUCCAUUACGUACGACGAUCCGUUCCGGGACAAAUCUGUGCACGAUUCAAGGAUCCGAGAAUCCAUAGGUUUAAGUAUCCGAAAAGUUGAAUAAGAAUUUAAAGAAAUUAAAAAUCCGUGGAUCUCCCUCCCCCCCCUCCUCUCUCUCUCUCUCUCUCUCUCUCUCUCUCUCUCUGUCCAGUCAAGGAGUCGACAAUAUUAGAAUCGAAAUCGAUUAUUCUGAAAUCCGAGACUGUAAAGAUGUAAAAGUCCACGAAUCCAUCGAUAUUAAGCGUGCAAUGAUCCAACACCGUUUUGUGAUACUUAAAAAAUUCACGUUAGCGUAGUAAUCUAUGAUCUAGAAACUAAGGAUCGUGGAUAGGACGCGAUUGAGAAGAAUUUUAUUUAAGAUUUAGAAGGAUUGAAAGCUAUUAAAAAUUCAGUAAUCGGAAACAAAUCAGUUCUAAGAAAUCAAAAACGUUUUUGGAGAAUUUAAGUAUAUAGGAUUGA
Long non-coding RNA from Mycetomoellerius zeteki, 560 nucleotides. RefSeq lists it as uncharacterized. The transcript has 2 exons. Lineage: Eukaryota; Metazoa; Arthropoda; Insecta; Hymenoptera; Formicidae. The record is from RefSeq and is a predicted model, not a curated record.